RNAcentral lists this ribosomal RNA (253 nucleotides) under uncultured bacterium. RNAcentral's name for it is "partial 16S ribosomal RNA". It matches the Rfam family "Bacterial small subunit ribosomal RNA", at positions 524 to 776 of the family's 1533-position model. The record is from RNAcentral.
GACAGAGGGGGCAAGCGUUGUUCGGAAUUACUGGGCGUAAAGGGCGCGUAGGCGGCCAACUAAGUCGGACGUGAAAUCCCCGGGCUCAACCCGGGAACUGCGUCCGAUACUGGAUGGCUUGAAUCCGGGAGAGGGAUGUGGAAUUCCAGGUGUAGCGGUGAAAUGCGUAGAUAUCGUGAGGAACACCAGAGGCGAAGGCGGCUACCUGGACAAUUGCUGACGCUCAGGCACGAAAGCGUGGGGAGCAAAAGGG